AGGAUAAACGCUGGCGGCGUGCAUGAGACAUGCAAGUCGAACGGACGAUCAGGGCUUGCUCUGAUCGUUAGUGGCGGACGGCUGAGUAACGCGUAGGUGACCUGCCCCGAAGUGGGGAAUAACUGCCCGAAAGGUUGGCUAAUACCGCAUAUGAUGGUCCUUCUCUGGAGGGACUCUCAAAGGCUUAGGCCGCUUUUGGAGGGGCUUGCGGCCGAUUAGCUAGUUGGUGGGGUAACGGCCUACCAAGGCGACGAUCGGUAGCUGGUCUGAGAGGACGGACAGCCACACGGGGGACUGAGAUACGGCCCCGACUCCUACGGGAGGCAGCAGCUAGGAAUCUUGGGAAUGGGCGAAAGCCUGACCCAGCAACGCCGCGUGGGGAUGAAGGCCUUCGGGUCGUAACCCUUUGCGAGGGAAGAUUAUGACGGUACCUGCGAAUAGCCACGGCUAACUACGUGCCAGCAGCCGC
Molecule: ribosomal RNA, 469 nt
Filed under: uncultured bacterium
Lineage: Bacteria
Description: SSU rRNA
Rfam family: Bacterial small subunit ribosomal RNA
Source: RNAcentral